Molecule: ribosomal RNA, 253 nt
Filed under: uncultured bacterium
Lineage: Bacteria
Description: partial 16S ribosomal RNA
Rfam family: Bacterial small subunit ribosomal RNA
Source: RNAcentral
UACGGAGGGUGCGAGCGUUGUUCGGAAUUACUGGGCGUAAAGCGCGUGCAGGCGGCCGACUAAGUCAGGUGUGAAAGCCCGGGGCUCACCUCCGGAAGUGCGCUUGAAACUGGUCGGCUAGAGUACGGGAGAGGGAAGCGGAAUUCCUGGUGUAGCGGUGAAAUGCGUAGAUAUCAGGAGGAACACCGGCGGUGUAGACGGCUUUCUGGACCGUAGCUGACGCUGAGACACGAAAGCGUGGGUAGCAAACAGG